This 710-nucleotide ribosomal RNA is filed under the name uncultured bacterium. RNAcentral describes it as "bacterial SSU rRNA". It matches the Rfam family "Bacterial small subunit ribosomal RNA", at positions 39 to 740 of the family's 1533-position model. The record is from RNAcentral.
GCGGAAUGCUUUACACAUGCAAGUCGAACGGCAGCACGGAGAGCUUGCUCUCUGGUGGCGAGUGGCGAACGGGUGAGUAAUAUAUCGGAACGUGUCCAAUAAUGGGGGAUAACGAGUCGAAAGAUUCGCUAAUACCGCAUACGCCCUACGGGGGAAAGCAGGGGAUCGUAAGACCUUGCGUUAAUGGAGCGGCCGAUAUCUGAUUAGCUAGUUGGUGAGGUAAAGGCUCACCAAGGCGACGAUCAGUAGCUGGUUUGAGAGAACGACCAGCCACACUGGAACUGAGACACGGUCCAGACUCCUACGGGAGGCAGCAGUGGGGAAUUUUGGACAAUGGGGGCAACCCUGAUCCAGCCAUUCCGCGUGAGUGAAGAAGGCCUUCGGGUUGUAAAGCUCUUUCGCAAGGGAAGAAAACUUAUGAUCGAAUAAAUCAUGAGGUUGACGGUACCUUGAUAAGAAGCACCGGCUAACUACGUGCCAGCAGCCGCGGUAAUACGUAGGGUGCGAGCGUUAAUCGGAAUUACUGGGCGUAAAGCGUGCGCAGGCGGUUUUGUAAGUCGGAUGUGAAAUCCCCGGGCUCAACCUGGGAACUGCGUUCGAAACUGCAAGGCUAGAGUGUGUCAGAGGGGGGUAGAAUUCCACGUGUAGCAGUGAAAUGCGUAGAGAUGUGGAGGAAUACCAAUGGCGAAGGCAGCCCCCUGGGAUAACAC